GCCAGCAUGGUGUAGUGGUUUGAGUGUUGGACUACGACUCUGGAGAUCAGGGUUCGAUUCCCUGUUUGGCC
This 71-nucleotide transfer RNA is filed under the name Phrynosoma platyrhinos (Desert horned lizard). RNAcentral describes it as "tRNA-OTHER". Lineage: Eukaryota; Metazoa; Chordata; Lepidosauria; Squamata; Phrynosomatidae. The record is from RNAcentral.